Molecule: long non-coding RNA, 1634 nt
Organism: Pogoniulus pusillus (Red-fronted tinkerbird)
Lineage: Eukaryota; Metazoa; Chordata; Aves; Piciformes; Lybiidae
Exons: 2
Source: RefSeq, a predicted model, not a curated record
CAGAAGGAUGCUGAUGAAAACCACAUCAUCCCAAUGCUCACUCACAGAACAUGAUUGGCUUGAAGUCAAAAGUGGGGAGUAAGGAAGGUAGGGCAGCAUCUUUCUUACAACUCAUCCAUCCAUACACAGAGUACUUGCUGCAGGUAACUAUUCACUGGAGUCUAGUGUUCAGGACUGACACAGUGUUAUAGUGCAAGUUUAAAAGUUCUGAGCCAGAAAUGACAAAAUCAGCUUAGAGGUUACUUUGGAGAAUGGUAAAACAGUAGCAUGUGGUUAAACAGUACAUUUCAUGUACAGCAGUUGAACUGCUGCAUAACAAGUGACAAGAGGAAGAUCACAACCAAAUCAUAGAUUACUGAUGACUUCCACAAGGUCAGGCAAAGAACUAUAGAAUAAUCAGGGAGAGAACCCAGUUAAACUAGCUUCUAGGUCUAGGGGCCUAUUUAUGGCUCAGUAUCAAGUCAGGUUCUGGGCAGAGAAAGAAACAUUUCCCUGUAUGCUCUUGUGGGGGCUAAUGUAUAUGCCAGUCACUAGCAAAAGAAACUUUAUAAGCUUUUUCCCUUUAAAACAGGUUGACUUUCUUCAAGGUAGAGUCAGCAAUUAGCACAGCCGGGUUGGGACAGAUAUGGUUGUUGUAGUAGUGAUGAGAAGUUAAUUACUUCCAAGUGAAAAUGAAGUGACUGCAUAGAGGAGCCAGGAUGACCCAAGUUCUCUUCUCUGGCUGUUUGUGAGGCAUUGUGACUCUGUGAUCUUGUCAAGGAUGAAUUGGACUUGUCACAUAAUGUCAAGGAUCAAGAGCUUGUCAGUGAUUAAUUACAUUUGCAUUCAAACAUUGUGUAACCCUGUAGCUCACUGUGUUCAUGGUAACACAUUGCUGUCAUCUGUAACAGGUUUUGUAGGAGGACUUCAGAUUUUGUCUGAACGUGUAUUGACUUGCCUGGAGCUUUGCCUUAACUCAUUUAGCUGCAACAGCAAUUUCUUAAGAACUAGGUGACUAUUACGCAAGUUGUUCUACUUUUGCUUAGCUUUGUACAGUACUGUGAUAUGUUUCUUACUUAGCUGAGAGUAACAAGUAGCUAUUUUCUGUAGAAUGAACCCUGUAGGACCCUAACAAAGUAACACAGCAUAAAAAACUAUAAACAUGGCAUCACAGGAGAGAACUCAAAAGGAGAGAUAAUGGAUGUGUUGCAGAGGCAUGCAGAUAAGAGAUGCUGGCAGAGAGCAUAGGAUGAUACUUGAGAACCCAGAGCUAUAAACAGCACGCCAGAGGUCAAUGAUUAAUAGCUAAUAAGUGCAGGCCUGGCAACUAAGUAAAACUGAUUUUAGGAGGAAAAAGAGAAAGCACCCAGUGUAUGUAAAACCUCAUAUAUUGUGAGAUCAGCCACCGUGAGAUCCAGAUGAGUAGUGGAAAGGUGAGUAUAACAGUGAAGAAGGGAUAAAAACUAAGAGAUGUGUAACAGUUUCACCUGUAUCAUUACUGAGAUUCAACAGCAUUCUUUUUGUAGGUUGGUUGUUUUUUGUUGUUGUUGUUGGUGGUUUUUUUUUAAUAGUAAUUAGAUCAGGAUUAAUAAUUCAGUGAUUGCAAACUACAUUUUCAGUGAUGGUAACAAUACAUUCUUUGCUUUGCUCAUAAA